Molecule: ribosomal RNA, 253 nt
Filed under: uncultured bacterium
Lineage: Bacteria
Description: partial 16S ribosomal RNA
Rfam family: Bacterial small subunit ribosomal RNA
Source: RNAcentral
UACGGAGGGUGCAAGCGUUAUCCGGAUUCACUGGGUUUAAAGGGUGCGUAGGAGGGUGUGUAAGUCAGUGGUGAAAUCUUCGAGCUUAACUCGGAAACUGCCGUUGAUACUACAUGUCUUGAAUACCGUGGAGGUGAGCGGAAUAUGUCAUGUAGCGGUGAAAUGCUUAGAUAUGACAUAGAACACCAAUUGCGAAGGCAGCUUACUACACAACGAUUGACGCUGAGGCACGAAAGCGUGGGGAUCAAACAGG